This 159-nucleotide ribosomal RNA is filed under the name Listeria monocytogenes. RNAcentral describes it as "partial 16S ribosomal RNA". It matches the Rfam family "Bacterial small subunit ribosomal RNA", at positions 1 to 154 of the family's 1533-position model. Lineage: Bacteria; Bacillati; Bacillota; Bacilli; Caryophanales; Listeriaceae. The record is from RNAcentral.
UUUAAAGAGAGUUUGAUCCUGGCUCAGGACGAACGCUGGCGGCGUGCCUAAUACAUGCAAGUCGAACGAACGGAGGAAGAGCUUGCUCUUCCAAAGUUAGUGGCGGACGGGUGAGUAACACGUGGGCAACCUGCCUGUAAGUUGGGGAUAACUCCGGGA